This 253-nucleotide ribosomal RNA is filed under the name uncultured bacterium. RNAcentral's name for it is "partial 16S ribosomal RNA". It matches the Rfam family "Bacterial small subunit ribosomal RNA", at positions 524 to 776 of the family's 1533-position model. The record is from RNAcentral.
UACGUAGGGGGCUAGCGUUGUCCGGAAUCAUUGGGCGUAAAGCGCGUGUAGGCGGCCCGGUAAGUCCGCUGUGAAAGUCGGGGGCUCAACCCUCGGAUGCCGGUGGAUACUGUCGGGCUCGAGUACGGAAGAGGCGAGUGGAAUUCCUGGUGUAGCGGUGAAAUGCGCAGAUAUCAGGAGGAACACCAAUUGCGAAGGCAGCUCGCUGGGACGUUACUGACGCUGAGACGCGAAAGCAUGGGGAGCGAACAGG